AAAUGGAAAUUUGCUUAAUUGCACCACAUGUGUUUUUCUUUGAAACAAACUUGCUUUGGCGGUGGGCCCAGCCUGCCGCCAGAGGUCUAAACUUACAACCAAUUUUUUAUCAACUUGUCACACCAGAUUAUUACUAAUAGUCAAAACUUUCAACAACGGAUCUCUUGGUUCUCGCAUCGAUGAAGAACGCAGCGAAAUGCGAUACGUAAUAUGAAUUGCAGAUAUUCGUGAAUCAUCGAAUCUUUGAACGCACAUUGCGCCCUCUGGUAUUCCGGAGGGCAUGCCUGUUUGAGCGUCGUUUCUCCCUCAAACCGCUGGGUUUGGUGUUGAGCAAUACGACUUGGGUUUGCUUGAAAGACGGUAGUGGUAAGGCGGGAUCGCUUUGACAAUGGCUUAGGUCUAACCAAAAACAUUGCUUGCGGCGGUAACGUCCACCACGUAUAUCUUCAAACUUUGACCUCAAAUCAGGUAGGACUACCCGCUGAACUUAAGCAUAUCAAUAAGCGGAGGAA
RNAcentral lists this ribosomal RNA (512 nucleotides) under Candida albicans. RNAcentral describes it as "eukaryotic LSU rRNA". The stretch from base 145 to 298 matches the Rfam family "5.8S ribosomal RNA". The record is from RNAcentral. Lineage: Eukaryota; Fungi; Ascomycota; Pichiomycetes; Serinales; Debaryomycetaceae.